Long non-coding RNA from Dromaius novaehollandiae (emu), 951 nucleotides. RefSeq lists it as uncharacterized. NCBI's taxonomy places the organism in Eukaryota, Metazoa, Chordata, Aves, Casuariiformes, Dromaiidae. The transcript has 5 exons. The record is from RefSeq and is a predicted model, not a curated record.
UGACGUGCUUGCUUUGAGCUGGGGGAUGGAGGAAGGAAAGGAGAAUGAGUUGAAGCUACCUUGUUCGGAAAGACCGGUUGUUCUGAUGAUGACCUGCCUCCUAGACCUUCAUAAUUGAGGUGGUGCCCGGCUGACUUCAAUGACAUUAGAACACACUGGUGCAGCAGCUGCUCUCCUCGCACAGACGCUUCCUGUGGGGCGAGCGGGACCGCGUGGCCACACUGGCACAGCAGCGAGGGCUGAUGCCACCACUGUGGUGUACGUCCACAGACAAAGACUGUCCCACCAUUUUCUCCUUUGUGGUGUUGAGAUGAGAAGUCUUAUCUGUGACUGGAGGAUGGCUUCUGUUCAGAGAACCAGCAAUGUCCUUAUAAGAGAGGAAACAUGAGGGUUCAUGGACUGACAGAAGCACAAGAUGGGUUAAGCUCUCCUGAGUCACUUGUGAUAAACUACCAAUUCCAUUUUGGCUGCCAAAUUUCACUGGCCUAGCUUGUGCACUUCAACAGCCUUGCAGGAACUGGAGCUUUCACAGGGAUAAGUCUGCCACCAGUCGUUGACUUGUCUACCCAUGUCUCUCACAGGUAAAUCCCUGCAUUUCUGUAAAACUCUUGAUUUUCUACAGUGGUAAGUCCAAGGACCACCAGCUGUAACAUCUGCUAAUAGGUGUAUUUCAAGCACAUCAGAUGUCACUGGAACAUAUGUUUUGGAGCAGAAUUCACAAAAGCCAUACUGAAUGCAAGCUCAGAUGCAUAUUUUGUAUUUAAGCAUUUAUAUAUCAUGCUUGUACAUUAAUUAGGGCAUUUAGCAUACAAUAUUCAGAAAUAUGACAUGAUGUGAACUUGCUACCUUUUUUUUGCCUUCUUUACUGGAAAAAAGCUUUAAUCUAGAAGGCUACUUCAGCAGCUUGUGGGAAUCUCCUUCACUGGAGAUGUAAAAAAUCAUCUUAUGACA